CCCGGUUCUCGUUAGAUCACCGAAGUUAAGCAUCAUUGGGCGCGGUCAGUACUUGGGUGGGUGACCACCUGGGAACACUGCGUGCCGUUG
This is a non-coding RNA of Caerostris darwini, 90 nucleotides long. NCBI's taxonomy places the organism in Eukaryota, Metazoa, Arthropoda, Arachnida, Araneae, Araneidae. The record is from the annotation of a GenBank genome assembly.